UACGGAGGAUGCAAGCGUUAUCCGGAAUUAUUGGGCGUAAAGCGUCCGUAGGUGGUUGAGUAAGUCUGCUGUUAAAGCGUGGAGCUUAACUCCAUAGCGGCAGUGGAAACUACUUGACUUGAGUGCGGUAGGGGUCAGGGGAAUUCCCAGUGUAGCGGUGAAAUGCGUAGAUAUUGGGAAGAACACCGGUGGCGAAAGCGGCUGACUGGGCCUGCACUGACACUGAGGGACGAAAGCUAGGGGAGCGAAAGGG
Molecule: ribosomal RNA, 253 nt
Filed under: uncultured bacterium
Lineage: Bacteria
Description: partial 16S ribosomal RNA
Rfam family: Bacterial small subunit ribosomal RNA
Source: RNAcentral